UACGUAGGGGGCAAGCGUUAUCCGGAUUUACUGGGUGUAAAGGGAGCGUAGACGGCACUGCAAGUCUGGAGUGAAAGCCCGAGGCCCAACCACGGGACUGCUCUGGAAACUGUCGGACUUGAGUGCAGGAGGGGCAAAUGGAAUUCCUAGUGUAGCGGUGGAAUGCGUAGAUAUUAGGAGGAACACCAGUGGCGAAGGCGAUUUACUGGACUGUAACUGACGUUGAGGCUCGAAAGCGUGGGGAGCAAACAGG
This 253-nucleotide ribosomal RNA is filed under the name uncultured Eubacteriales bacterium. RNAcentral describes it as "uncultured Clostridiales bacterium partial 16S ribosomal RNA". It matches the Rfam family "Bacterial small subunit ribosomal RNA", at positions 524 to 776 of the family's 1533-position model. Lineage: Bacteria; Bacillati; Bacillota; Clostridia; Eubacteriales. The record is from RNAcentral.